Molecule: ribosomal RNA, 406 nt
Filed under: uncultured bacterium
Lineage: Bacteria
Description: partial 16S ribosomal RNA
Rfam family: Bacterial small subunit ribosomal RNA
Source: RNAcentral
AUUGAACGCUGGCGGCAGGCCUAAUACAUGCAAGUCGAACGAGUGGCGGACGGGCGAGUGAUGGCUGGGAAACUGCCUGAUGGAGCGGGAUAACUACUGGAACCGGUAGCUAAUACCGCAUAACACCGGAUGUGCCCAGAUGGGAUUAGCUAGUGGGUGGGGUAAUGGCUCACCUAGGCGACGAUCCCUAGCUGGUCUGAGAGGAUGACCGGCCACACUGGAACUGAGACACGGUCCAGACUCCUACGGGAGGCAGCAGUGGGGAAUAUUGCACAAUGGGCGCAAGCCUGAUGGAGCCAUGCCGCGUGUAUGAAGAAGGCCUUCGGGUUGUAAAGUACUUUCAGCGAGGAGGCGUUACUCGCAGAAGAAGCACCGGCUAACUCCGUGCCAGCAGCCGCGGUAAUAC